CGCUUUAUUUCCAUCCCGCUUACGUCAGCGCCCAGCUGGGUCCGGCAUGGUCUGACUGGUCAUUGGGGCUUGCCGCUAUGUGGGGCGGCAGAUCGCCUCGGCUCUGCGUCGGGACGACCCUGGGGCGCCCCUGCCCCCCAGCCGGCGCAGGGACCUCGGUGACAAGAAGGAUGUAACCCCCCGGCCAGUGGUGGCUCUAUUGGACUCUGUCCCGCCGGGGCGCACUCCCCUGCUCCCAGCAGAACGGGGGGCACCGGGGCGGCCCUCCUGAGGCUCAUGGUGGGGAUAGCAAGGGGCAAAUGACGGUUCAUCUGGCAACUCCCAGAGUCGUGGGCAGCAGAUGGACCUGAGACACCAACCCCCCCCCGACCCCACUGUACCCCAAAAAGGAAUUCAGAAUAAAGAGGUUUUGGAGGCCACGCUGCAAAGGA
Molecule: long non-coding RNA, 431 nt
Organism: Mauremys mutica (yellowpond turtle)
Lineage: Eukaryota; Metazoa; Chordata; Testudines; Geoemydidae
Exons: 3
Source: RefSeq, a predicted model, not a curated record